GUCUGAUUGGCUCAGUGGGUAGAGCAUGUGGGUAGAGCAUGUGGCUCCUCAAUAGCUACUUUUAUGGACUAUGUAGUUACUUCAAUGUCUCGAGUUCGAGCCUCCCAUAGGGCU
Kalaharituber pfeilii is the source of this 114-nucleotide non-coding RNA. NCBI's taxonomy places the organism in Eukaryota, Fungi, Ascomycota, Pezizomycetes, Pezizales, Pezizaceae. The record is from the annotation of a GenBank genome assembly.